UACAGAGGUCUCAAGCGUUGUUCGGAUUCAUUGGGCGUAAAGGGUGUGUAGGUGGCGCGCUAAGUCGGGUGUGAAAUUUCGGAGCUUAACUCCGAAACUGCAUUCGAUACUGGCGUGCUUGAGGACAGGAGAGGAACGCGGAAUUCCAGGUGUAGCGGUGAAAUGCGUAGAUAUCUGGAGGAACACCGGUGGCGAAGGCGGCGUUCUGGACUGUUUCUGACACUGAAAAACGAAAGCCAGGGGAGCAAACGGG
RNAcentral lists this ribosomal RNA (253 nucleotides) under uncultured bacterium. RNAcentral describes it as "partial 16S ribosomal RNA". It matches the Rfam family "Bacterial small subunit ribosomal RNA", at positions 524 to 776 of the family's 1533-position model. The record is from RNAcentral.